Long non-coding RNA from Syngnathus acus (greater pipefish), 1570 nucleotides. RefSeq lists it as uncharacterized. The transcript is spliced from 3 exons. Lineage: Eukaryota; Metazoa; Chordata; Actinopteri; Syngnathiformes; Syngnathidae. The record is from RefSeq and is a predicted model, not a curated record.
AGAGAGAGAGAGAGAGAGAGAGAGAGAGAGAGAGAGAGAUAUGAUCAUGCUUCAAAUCAGCUUUCCACUGUGUAAGACCUGUCAUCCAUAAUACUACAGAAGCUCUUGAAAUGAGCUGAGUGGUAACAAUCGCACUCCACGAACAGGUGUGAAUGAAGAGGCCGAGGAGAGUGAGGAGUGAGUGGCCUGCCCAUCGCACAAGUUUAAUAAUCACGCAAGGAAGGAGACAGCUCAUGCACAGCACUAUCUCAAGCAUCCUCCCUUGGAAUAGUAAUGAGGGAGGUAACCUAAAGAAUUAAGCUCAUAUUCUUAUCAGCUUUUUUUUUUUUUUUAACCCUCCCUUUUAAAGAUGAAGCAUUUUCUCAUGGUCAGAUGGUUUGAUUUUGUUAUGAAAUUGGCUACAGACUGCAUUUCUCAGUAGUAAUUAAAGUGUGAUAAAUCCGUUUUCUGUCAUGUUGUCACACAUUGUAUGAUCCAGUUAUUUAGUUCCAGAUCAGUGGAUAGUACAGUGCAAUUCUUGUCAGCUGGAAUACUUGAAUUGCUUUGUCAAAGAAAUAACGUUUCGAAUGGCUUUCCGAUCAUCAUUUAGAAGUCUGAGACAUGUCAGCAUGCAAAAUAUAAGCAAUAGAGGUGGCUCGUCUAUCUUUGGGGUGGUGAAAAAGGUCCUUGGUGACAGGUGCUCCAACAAGAGUUGCCUGGUUGGAGGUUGUAAAGCGUUACAACCUCCAACCAGGCAACUCCAGUCUUGGUUGACAGGCCUCUGCAAUAUUGCAAGGACAUCUGGGAUUUGGACUUGGGCAAAACAUUCAAUCAUGUCUCUCAGAGAGCUCUGUGGUUGGGGUGCCCCACGAGUAUGAGGAACUGGACCCCUUUGUAGGUAUAACUGAGUCAAACUUGGGUCCACAACACAAAUUCUUUCCAGUGAAGCUUGUAUAAUAAUUUGGGAUUUUUCAUUAGUUUGUAUUUGGUUUUGACUUUAGUCUUUUGAAUUGAGUUAGUUUUCAUGGUCUUAGUCAUUUCUUUGUUUUGUUUGUUAACUUUAAUAAGCUCGGGUUAGACUGCACCAAAGUUGCCCUUUGUCACGAAUUGUUCGAAACCUUAAACAGCAAGUGUCUCAGUGGCUCGUUCGGUGACCUCGACUGAAUAAUAAUUGUAAUUUGAAAAAUAUUUACAAAAGACUUCAAGAUCCAUUCCCCACAUCACCACUUACUUUACCCAGCAGUGUCAACUUGUACCCAUCAACCUUUUGAUGCAAAACCAGCCACAAAAAUGAACCUCAAUUUCGAUAAAUCACAUUGUGUGUGCUAAAUUCAUAAUCUCUAGCUACUCCUUCCACAACACAUACACUACUUUGUGAUUUUGCCCAUUUGGCGGAUACAAUCUUGUUUUUGCACGUGCAAAUUUGAGUAAAAUCAGCCCAUAAGUGUUGUUUCGUCAUGUAUAUCUUGCAAGAGAAAAUUUGCAGAGAACAGAUCCAUUGAAUGCAGUAUACAAGGUCUUCUGAACAAGAAAUGCAGUCUCACAUUGAGCUACAACAUAAUGACAAACAUUUGUUUACAUCAAAACAAAC